AGUGAACGCUGGCGGUAGGCCUAACACAUGCAAGUCGAACGGCAGCACAGUAAGAGCUUGCUCUUACGGGUGGCGAGUGGCGGACGGGUGAGGAAUACAUCGGAAUCUACUUUUUCGUGGGGGAUAACGUAGGGAAACUUACGCUAAUACCGCAUACGACCUACGGGUGAAAGCAGGGGAUCUUCGGACCUUGCGCGAUUGAAUGAGCCGAUGUCGGAUUAGCUAGUUGGCGGGGUAAAGGCCCGCCAAGGCGACGAUCCGUAGCUGGUCUGAGAGGAUGAUCAGCCACACUGGAACUGAGACACGGUCCAGACUCCUACGGGAGGCAGCAGUGGGGAAUAUUGGACAAUGGGCGCAAGCCUGAUCCAGCCAUACCGCGUGGGUGAAGAAGGUCUUCGGGUUGUAAAGCCCUUUUGUUGGGAAAGAAAAGCAGCAGGUUAAUACCCCGCUGUUCUGACGGUACCCAAAGAAUAAGCACCGGCUAACUUCGUG
Molecule: ribosomal RNA, 492 nt
Filed under: uncultured bacterium
Lineage: Bacteria
Description: partial 16S ribosomal RNA
Rfam family: Bacterial small subunit ribosomal RNA
Source: RNAcentral